GACGAACGCUGGCGGCGUGCUUAACACAUGCAAGUCGAACGGAAAGGCCCUGCUUUUGUGGGGUGCUCGAGUGGCGAACGGGUGAGUAACACGUGAGUAACCUGCCCUUGACUUUGGGAUAACUUCAGGAAACUGGGGCUAAUACCGGAUAGGAUCUCCUGCUGCAUGGUGGGGGUUGGAACGUUUCGGCGGUUGGGGAUGGACUCGCGGGUUAUCAGCUUGUUGGUGGGGUAGUGGCUUACCAAGGCUUUGACGGGUAGCCGGCCUGAGAGGGUGACCGGCAAAAUUGGGACUGAGAUACGGCCCAGAGUCCAACGGGAGGCAGAAGUGGGGAAUAUUGCACAAUGGGAGGAAGCCUGAUGCAGCAACGCCGCGUGCGGGAUGACGGCCUUCGGGUUGUAAACCGAUUUCGCAUGUGACGAAGAGUGAGUGACGGUAAUGGGUAAAGAAGCACCGGCUAACUACGUG
RNAcentral lists this ribosomal RNA (468 nucleotides) under uncultured bacterium. Its description in RNAcentral is "partial 16S ribosomal RNA". It matches the Rfam family "Bacterial small subunit ribosomal RNA", at positions 28 to 507 of the family's 1533-position model. The record is from RNAcentral.